CCCAGUGGCUCCCUGAGUUGAACCGCCACUCAGGGGGUAUCAGGGGGUAAGUGCACGAACCGCCCGCAUUCUCCAUCGAGAACAGCACAAAUCGCGAUUGAGCUAUCCAGACCAUGAGCUUCAAACGCAGAGAAGACUACAAUCUCUUAAUCUUAGAUCCAUGCUCAUAAUACUAGCAGUUUGCUGGAGCUGGAAUAGCUGAAUCGUGUAUGUGUAGAAUAAUGUGUAAUUAUGUGCACGAAUGUAUGUGAAUGAGAUAUAAGGAUACAGUCGACAUAGCUAUGUACAGUUCCCGUAGUUCGCAGAAAAGAGAUAAGAGGACAGAUGAAUACUGUUCGUGGCGUAAUGAAGAUAUUAAUUAUCAAUUUAAUUUCAAAAAUUUAUCAUUGGAGGAUCUAAUCAUUAAUGACGAUGCCAAAGACCUGAUACAUCUACGUUUGUGUUCUCCCUUAGAAACUGAUUGUAACGGGCAAUAUGGAUAUAGUAUUUGUCUUUCAAAGAAUAAUACCAAAAUAGGCUUGGGAAAAGCGCCACCUGAAGUAAAUGUGACUAAAGGGAUAAAGUUUAAAUUCUUUGGAGAUCGUUGUAACGCGAAUACUAACUAUACUGUACAGAUUAUAAUGCAGUGUAAUUCUUCAGCAGUUCAUGAAACUGUCCCUCAUAUGUUUCAAAAAAGUGAGAAUCAUUGCGAGUGGUACAUGAUUUGGUAUACAAAAGCAGCUUGUGGUAACAUCAUAAAAUCAAAUUGUACAGCAAAAGAUGAUUCUGGUCGCAGUUUUAAUCUAAGCCCAUUAACCAGAAUCUCUGACAAUUAUAUUAUAGAUGUGGGCAACACAUCUAGCAAAAAGAUUAUACUAAAUAUUUGUCAUUCAUUAAUAUUUGGAGAUAAUACUAAAUGCCAUCCAAACUCUGGUGCAUGUCUGCAAAAAUCCAAAACCAACAAUGACACAUGGUACGAAAACCUAGGCAAUGUAGAUUCAUCCAGUGUCCCAGUCUUUAAAGAUGGUCAGUUACAACUUCAGUAUUUUGAUGAGAAAACUCUAGAUAAUACUUAUAUCACCCUGUAUUUUGUGUGCGACCCUAGCGCUAAUAAUACUGAUCCUGCAUAUAUGAAUGAAAGCGGUCCCUUUCAUUACAAAUUAAGUUGGAGAACAAAUGCAGCUUGUGUUCCUGACUUAUGUACUGCAACAAAUCCAGUGACAAAUUUUCAGCAUAACUUACAAACAUUAAUGAGUAGAGCAUUUACUAUUAAAGCACUGAAUGGGUCAGAAUAUAAGAUAGCAAUUUGCAGACCCCUUCUCGGUAAUCCGUGCAAAUCAGGAACUGGUGUUUGUUUUUCUAAAAAUGGAACGUCCUUUGGACAGUCUAAUACAAAUUUAACAUGGCAAAAAAAGGGCCCUUUCUUAAAUUAUACCAAUGGUGAUAUAUGUAAUAAUCAUGGACAAAGACGUUAUACACUGAUUUCAUUUUUCUGUGGAUCUGAAAGCUCCUAUAAUGGGCCGCGUAUUAUAAAAGAAGAUAAAUGUAGUUUAAUCAUUCAUUGGGAUACAAGUUUGGUUUGCGAAAAAUCUAUAAAGUGUUCAACAGAAAAUAAUGAAGUAAAUCUAACAAGUUUAAUUCGUAUUGAUCAUAAUUACGUAGUUAAGUCUAAGGAUGUUGAUUUUUAUAUAAAUAUCUGCCGGCCUCUUUUACCUAUGAACAAUGUAAAUUGCCCGCAAGGUGCUGCAAUUUGUCAAGCGAGACGUAAUCCGACAGGGCAACUUAUCAAUUUCACCAGUUUAGGAUUUCCUAAUGAGCCUCCACAUCUUGGGAGUGAUGGACAACCACUCCUAAGGUAUCAAAGCAAUGUACUAUGUCCAGAAAAUCCAAAGAAACUGAUUUCGACAAAUAUUACGUUUCUUCGUAGUCCUUACACUGAAACUAAAAUAGAAUAUAAAGAUUAUGGGGAUUGUACUUACAAGUUUGAUGUGAGAACAAGUGUCGUUUCUGAAGUACCAACAACAUCCAUUGAACCGUGUACAUUGGAAAUACCACUUACAUCAGACAAGUUUUUUCUUUUCCCAUUGCCGAAUGAAUCAGUACACUAUGUGAAAGGAAGGAAUGGGAAAUUAUAUGAGGUAAGCAUUUGUGGUAGUCGCCAUUGCAACGGUUCAGUAGUCUGUGAAGGAAAUAAUGGCUACGGAUCAAAAACUGAUGUAUUAUUUGAUCAUAGAAGAAAUGUUGUAACCCUUAAGUACAGUAAUGGCACCAAAUGUACAAAUAAUUCUUAUGAUUCACUUAACUCUGAAAUAAAAUUAAAAUGCAACAUGACGGCUGGAGUCAACGCACCUCAAAUCAAGUCGGAAACUGAUUGCAGGGUUGAAUUCGAGUGGCAAACGAGCGUAGUUUGUUCAAAUUUGACCACUCGCGAAACGAUCACCAUUGCAAGCGAUCCGAUUGACCCGACAAAUGAAGUUCAAGGCGGAAGCAGUAUUGCAGGCCCAAUUGCAAUCUUGGUGCUGGUCAUCCUGAUUGCUUGUUUCUGUUUAUACAGUCCAGCAAGAAGAGCGCGUUUACGUUCCUACUUAAAAUGCUGCAAUUCGGAUACACCGAGUGGACGAGCUCAGUAUUAUCGGGUCAGCACCAAUGAAGAAUCUUGUUCAUUACUGGACUCUUCUGAUCCAACGCAUUGUCAAAGUGACAGCGACGAGGAUUUAUUGUGUGCAUAAUUUUCCCUGAUUUCGCAAAACCGUAAAGGUCGUGGUCGGAAGUGAGGUGCUCUAGAAGAAAUCUCAACAUUCCGGGAAUAAUUAAACAUUAUCAUCGCCGAAUAAUUCUAUUUUUAUAAACGAAAUAAGCAAGUCAAGAUUCCAGAGCUCUCAGUCUUGUGCACUAACAUUAAUUGCGAAUGUUCCAGGUUGUUUUUAAUACAAGAUAUUGAUGUAACAAUUGUACAAAUUAGAGAGAAAUCUAUCCGCGAUACGGUACUAAAUAAUUAUCCACUACGUGGAUAUCCAUGGUACCGGGAAUGGAGAUUAAAGAGUUGAUAAUCUUAAAAUUA
This 3040-nucleotide unclassified non-coding RNA is filed under the name Orussus abietinus. RNAcentral's name for it is "cation-independent mannose-6-phosphate receptor, transcript variant X6". The record is from RNAcentral. Lineage: Eukaryota; Metazoa; Arthropoda; Insecta; Hymenoptera; Orussidae.